GAGUAAGGUGUGAUUGCCAAAGCUUGCAGGUUUAUAAUUGCCUUAAAUAUACUUGGGCUAUCUGCCGGAGUCACCGGGAGGUCUUCUGAGUCCAUGAGGGUGCAGGGGAGGCAAAACUUUACCUCGCUCCAUCUUAGGCUUUCAGCUGGGAGUCUUUAACAAAAAGACAGAUUAACGGAGGAAAAACAGUUCGUUAAGGCAUGCAGCGCACAUCACGUGGGAGAAACAGAAACCAAGACUAACUCAAAAUGGCGGCUUUGAAUUCCAGCUUGUAUAGCAUCUUCAACAAAAACCAACAAAUUUGUAGAGAAACGACAGGACAAAGGGAGGCGGUUUUAGGCUUCCAAAGGCGGCAAACCGUGGGAAGGUCAGGAAUCCAGGUGUCAUUUAGGUCAGUUCUCUGUUCUUUCAAAGGCCGCAAUCAAGGUCUCGGUGACAGUCAUCUCAAGGCUCGACUUGGGGAAGAUCUGUGUCCCAGCACAUUCCCGUGGCUGUCAGCAGGAUUCAGUUCUCACAGCUGUUGUUGGUCUAAGAGACGUGGGCAAAGAAAACAAGCUGGAAAAUCAGUGCAGCAAAUGGCAAACAUGCCCCGGGUGUGGAUUAGACUGAGAACCAGUGUCAGCGAGAACAUCGUAUUUGAGUAACGCUGUUCCCAGAUUGGUAAACUUAGAUCUGCUGUACUUUUAGUCUAAAACACAUUGAAACACUGAUGUGGCUGUGAAGGCACAGAUGUGAUCAGAACGGGCAGUUUGGUGAUGAAAGUUCAGACAUCUCUGAUUUCAUCUAGGUCCAGCCCAUGCCUAUCACAGAUGAGGAAGAGAAGGCUCUGGGAUAGGAAAGUGACUUGCUCAAGUUAACAGUCUGGCUGGUGACGGGACCACAUGAGCGUUUAAUCCAUUGUCUUUGACAUGAAGCAUUAUAGAAAUGGAGUCCCACAAGUGAAUAAAAUUGUGGCAGUGUUUCAUUACCACUGAUGGAGACUGUGCCUCCAACGCAUUUCUGGAAGCUGGGAAGUCCAAGAUCAAGGUGCCAGCAAAUUCUGUUUCUGCCCAUCAUUUCCUACAACAUCCUGGAAAAAAAGCAGAAAUUCAGGAACAUGUUAGGGAAGGAGAAAUGGCAGGGGGUGGCACUGUUUCUUACCUUCAGGAACAAUGACUUGAGUGUGGACUCCACGUUUGGUGAGCUCAGAUCUCCAAUCUCCAAAGAGCUGCACAUCAGUUUCUCUUCCCCCGUCCAGCUGAAUCAGUCCUUCCACCACCCCUCCACCCGUGAAAGAUCCCAAUGGAAAUGGAAUAUAUAGAACAAAAUCUAAGAACUCUUUGUGCUUGUUAGAAAAAGCCUAUGAUCUCAUCCAGCUAAAAACAUUUCAACGUUGGUCCAUUAAAGAAAAUGACUAACCAGUCAUCCGAAAUUAUGUUGUGGAGACCAUUUAAUGAUCUAGGGGAAAUGCUCAUAUCAUGGUAAGUGAAAAAGCAGGACCCCAAACUCUAUAAAUAGCAUAAUCCCAAUUUGGGGGAAUAAAUGUCUGGGGAAGAAAUGAUGGAGGAAAACACUCCAAAAUAUUACAAUGUUUAUCUCUGGGUGAUGGUAGGAUUCUGAGCUAUUUUUGUUUUGUUCUUUGCAUUUUUCUAUAUGUACAGGCUUUUCUAUAAGGAGCAAGUUACUUUUAUAACAACACCAACAAAAAAUUAGGUUUGAAAAAAGGAAAGAAAGCUACUGACCGCGCCAGAUAGUCUUCUGCCCAUUCUCUGACAAAAAAGUCCCUCAGUGUUUGUCUUGGAGCCAGAGUCCUGCUACAUGUCAGCACGGACCGCCGCUCACCCGGCCAGACCAAAGGUGUGGCCCUGGUGAACAGAGUCCCAGGGCUGUGUGGGGUCUCGACCUGGAGGGGACUUUUGUUUUGAUUGCAGAUGUUUGCACUGGCACUGCUUGCCCUGUCUCUUCCCAUUGCCCAGGUGCCUUGAUGUGAGUGCUCUGGAGUCCUGUUCACCCGCCCCCGAUCUUCCACCUGUAAGUGCUUCAGUUUGAUGGGAGUUGCAUUUCCCUGAAGAGUGAGGAGGCCCCAAGAGGAAAAGUCCUGCUUACUCUUAUCCUCACCGUGCCAGACCUGCCUGCUCACAACGGCGGGGGACACAUGGGGCACCAGGACACUUGUGCGGCACUGAAUGAGGACAUCCCCUCGUGAGUUCCAUUCUUCCCCCUCUGAGCUCAAGCCCCCCCAUUCGCGAGGGACUGCAGAGCAAUGGGCACUGCUAGGAAACAGAGAGGAACACUGGGCCUCUGAGAAAGUGGGAGUUUGGGUUGCAAAGUUAAUUGCAGUUUUCAU
Long non-coding RNA from Equus caballus (horse), 2326 nucleotides. The record is from Ensembl. NCBI's taxonomy places the organism in Eukaryota, Metazoa, Chordata, Mammalia, Perissodactyla, Equidae.